AACAAACGCUGGCGGCGUGCCUAAUACAUGCAAGACGAACGGUAAGUUGAGUAGCAAUACUUAGCCAAGAGUGUCGUACGGGUGCGUAACACGUAUGCAACCUACCCUAUACAGGAGGAUAGCCUAGGGAAACCUGGAUUAACCCUUCAUAGUAUUAUUGGAUGGCAUCAUUUGAUAAUUAAAACUGAGGUGGUAUAGGAUGGGCAUGCGUCUGAUUAGUUAGUUGGCGGGUAAUGGCCCACCAAGACGAUGAUCAGUAGGGGUUCUGAGAGGAAGAUCCCCCACACUGGCACUGAGAUACGGGCCAGACUCCUACGGGAGGCAGCAGUAGGGAAUAUUGGUCAAUGGAU
This 350-nucleotide ribosomal RNA is filed under the name uncultured bacterium. RNAcentral describes it as "bacterial SSU rRNA". It matches the Rfam family "Bacterial small subunit ribosomal RNA", at positions 29 to 376 of the family's 1533-position model. The record is from RNAcentral.